GAAAAUGUUAUAUUUCCGCCGAUCUGUCAAAAAAAGGAUUUUAACUGUAGAAGAUACAUACCAUUUGAUGCCGUGUGUACAACAAAAACCUAAGAUGAAAGAUUGACAACAAAGUGUCAUGGUCUUGAUGGAAUAUGCUGUGCUCCUCAGACCUCUUAGACAUAUAUUUAAUAAUGACCACUGAGUAAUCCAAGGUUUCAGACAUCUAGAAUAUGCUCAUGGUCAGUCUUCAAGAUACUCACCCAAGCAUUCCACUGUGAAUAAGGAUACUGUGACAAAACAGUACUUACCAACAUCCACUGGAGAUACCAGACCAAGCAGACU
Long non-coding RNA from Mya arenaria, 324 nucleotides. RefSeq lists it as uncharacterized. The transcript is spliced from 3 exons. NCBI's taxonomy places the organism in Eukaryota, Metazoa, Mollusca, Bivalvia, Myida, Myidae. The record is from RefSeq and is a predicted model, not a curated record.